Molecule: ribosomal RNA, 301 nt
Filed under: uncultured bacterium
Lineage: Bacteria
Description: partial 16S ribosomal RNA
Rfam family: Bacterial small subunit ribosomal RNA
Source: RNAcentral
CAGUAGCCGCGGGAAUACAGAGGGUGCGAGCGUUAAUCGGAUUUACUGGGCGUAAAGCGUGCGUAGGCGGCUUCUUAAGUCGGAUGUGAAAUCCCUGAGCUUAACUUAGGAAUUGCAUUCGAUACUGGGAAGCUAGAGUAUGGGAGAGGAUGGUAGAAUUCCAGGUGUAGCGGUGAAAUGCGUAGAGAUCUGGAGGAAUACCGAUGGCGAAGGCAGCCAUCUGGCCUAAUACUGACGCUGAGGUACUAAAGCAUGGGGAGCAAACAGGAUUAGAUACCCCUGUAGUCCCUGUCUCUUAUAU